This 664-nucleotide ribosomal RNA is filed under the name uncultured bacterium. RNAcentral describes it as "bacterial SSU rRNA". It matches the Rfam family "Bacterial small subunit ribosomal RNA", at positions 111 to 794 of the family's 1533-position model. The record is from RNAcentral.
UAACGCGUGGGCAACCUGCCUUACACAGGGGGAUAACAGUUAGAAAUGACUGCUAAUACCGCAUAAGACCACGAAACUGCAUGGUUUUGUGGUAAAAACUCCGGUGGUGUAAGAUGGGCCCGCGUCUGAUUAGGUAGUUGGCGGGGUAACGGCCCACCAAGCCGACGAUCAGUAGCCGACCUGAGAGGGUGACCGGCCACAUUGGGACUGAGACACGGCCCAGACUCCUACGGGAGGCAGCAGUGGGGAAUAUUGCACAAUGGGGGAAACCCUGAUGCAGCGACGCCGCGUGAGCGAUGAAGUAUUUCGGUAUGUAAAGCUCUAUCAGCAGGGAAGAAAAUGACGGUACCUGACUAAGAAGCCCCGGCUAACUACGUGCCAGCAGCCGCGGUAAUACGUAGGGGGCAAGCGUUAUCCGGAUUUACUGGGUGUAAAGGGAGCGUAGACGGCUUUGCAAGCCAGAUGUGAAAGCCCGGGGCUCAACCCCGGGACUGCAUUUGGAACUGUAUGGCUGGAGUGUCGGAGAGGCAGGCGGAAUUCCUAGUGUAGCGGUGAAAUGCGUAGAUAUUAGGAGGAACACCAGUGGCGAAGGCGGCCUGCUGGACGAUGACUGACGUUGAGGCUCGAAAGCGUGGGGAGCAACAGGAUUAGAUACCCUGGUAGU